AUGGCACCAAUUACCGAGUGCCUGAGGAAGGGAAAGUUCCAAUGGACAGAAGCGACUGAAGCUAGUUUCAAUGAGGUCAAGCAAGAACUCUCACAAGCUCCUGUCUUGGUGCUACCUGAUUUCAACAAGACUUUUGAGUUGGAGUGUGAGGCAAGUGGAGUAGGCAUUGGAGCUGUUCUAUCUCAAGAAAGGAAGCCCAUUGCUUUCUUUAGUGAGAAGUUAAGCGAAGCUAGACAGAAAUGGAGUACCUGUCAGCAAGAACUGUAUGCCAUUUUCAGAGCCUUGAAAACUUGGGAAGUCUAUUUGCUGCCUAAAGAGUUCAUUGUUUAUAGUGACCAUCAAUCCUUGAAGCAUUUUAGAAAUCAAAAGCAUGUUGAUCGCGUGCGCUAG
RNAcentral lists this ribosomal RNA (390 nucleotides) under Triticum aestivum (bread wheat). Its description in RNAcentral is "partial small subunit ribosomal RNA". Lineage: Eukaryota; Viridiplantae; Streptophyta; Magnoliopsida; Poales; Poaceae. The record is from RNAcentral.